ACUUUUAAAGUUUAAAGUCAUAAACAUUUCAAUUUCAUUGAAAAGAUAGGCUUCCAAGCCUAAAA
RNAcentral lists this transfer RNA (65 nucleotides) under Microthoracius praelongiceps. Its description in RNAcentral is "tRNA-Glu". The record is from RNAcentral. Lineage: Eukaryota; Metazoa; Arthropoda; Insecta; Psocodea; Microthoraciidae.